GGACUCUGCCCGUGCCUGAGAGUGGAAAGGGAAGGAGGGAGAAAAGGAUUUUAAUUUCAACAGUCUCGAGGAAGCAAGUUAUCCUGGUUUACAGGCAUCCUACAUUUCACCUGUAGAGUCUUCUCUGGUGGAAACUGGAGCACCAGGAGGAAACCCACAUGGUCACAGAGAAUG
Molecule: long non-coding RNA, 174 nt
Organism: Hypanus sabinus (Atlantic stingray)
Lineage: Eukaryota; Metazoa; Chordata; Chondrichthyes; Myliobatiformes; Dasyatidae
Exons: 3
Source: RefSeq, a predicted model, not a curated record